UACGAAGGGGGCUAGCGUUGUUCGGAAUUACUGGGCGUAAAGGGCGCGUAGGCGGCUCUUCAAGUCAGCCGUGAAAUCUCCAGGCUUAACCUGGAAAGGGUCGGUUGAUACUGUCGAGCUAGAGUGUAGAAGAGGCAACUGGAAUUCCGUGUGUAGCGGUGAAAUGCGUAGAUAUACGGAGGAACACCUGCGGCGAAGGCGG
Molecule: ribosomal RNA, 202 nt
Filed under: uncultured bacterium
Lineage: Bacteria
Description: partial 16S ribosomal RNA
Rfam family: Bacterial small subunit ribosomal RNA
Source: RNAcentral